AGAAGGAUAUUGAUACCUUAGAGAGGGUUCAGAGAAGGGCUACUAAACUGGUUCAUGGAUUGCGGGAUAAAACUUACCAGGAAAGGUUAAAGGACCUUAACAUGUAUAGCUUGGAGGAAAGACGAGACGGGGGGAUAUGAUAGAAACAUUUAAAUAUAUAAAGGGAAUCAACACAGUAAAGGGGGAGACUAUAUUUAAAAGAAGAAAAACUACUAC
Molecule: non-coding RNA, 216 nt
Organism: Pelobates cultripes (western spadefoot toad)
Lineage: Eukaryota; Metazoa; Chordata; Amphibia; Anura; Pelobatidae
Source: the annotation of a GenBank genome assembly